Molecule: ribosomal RNA, 484 nt
Filed under: uncultured bacterium
Lineage: Bacteria
Description: partial 16S ribosomal RNA
Rfam family: Bacterial small subunit ribosomal RNA
Source: RNAcentral
AUUGAACGCUGGCGGCAGGCCUAACACAUGCAAGUCGAGCGGAUGAAGGGAGCUUGCUCCUGGAUUCAGCGGCGGACGGGUGAGUAAUGCCUAGGAAUCUGCCUGGUAGUGGGGGAUAACGUCCGGAAACGGGCGCUAAUACCGCAUACGUCCUGAGGGAGAAAGUGGGGGAUCUUCGGACCUCACGCCAUCAGAUGAGCCUAGGUCGGAUUAGCUAGUUGGUGGGGUAAAGGCCUACCAAGGCGACGAUCCGUAACUGGUCUGAGAGGAUGAUCAGUCACCCUGGAACUGAGCCACGGUCCAGACUCCUCCGGGCGGCAGCAGUGGGGAAUAUUCGACAAUGGGCGAAAUCCUGAUCCAGCCAUGCCGCGUGUGUGACGAAGGUCUUCGGAUUGUAAAGCACUUUAAGUUGGGAGGAAGGGCAGUAUGUUAAUACCUUGCUGUUUUGACGUUACCAACAGAAUAAGCACCGGCUAACUUCGUG